Molecule: ribosomal RNA, 497 nt
Filed under: uncultured bacterium
Lineage: Bacteria
Description: bacterial SSU rRNA
Rfam family: Bacterial small subunit ribosomal RNA
Source: RNAcentral
GAUCAUGGCUCAGAUUGAACGCUGGCGGCAUGCCUUACACAUGCAAGUCGAACGGCAGCGGGGACUUCGGUCCGCCGGCGAGUGGCGAACGGGUGAGUAAUGUAUCGGAACGUACCUUUCAGUGGGGGAUAACGUAGCGAAAGUUACGCUAAUACCGCAUAUUCUGUGCGCAGGAAAGCAGGGGAUCGCAAGACCUUGCGCUGAUUGAGCGGCCGAUAUCAGAUUAGCUAGUUGGUGGGGUAAAGGCCUACCAAGGCGACGAUCUGUAGCGGGUCUGAGAGGAUGAUCCGCCACACUGGAACUGAGACACGGUCCAGACUCCUACGGGAGGCAGCAGUGGGGAAUUUUGGACAAUGGGCGCAAGCCUGAUCCAGCCAUGCCGCGUGAGUGAAGAAGGCCUUCGGGUUGUAAAGCUCUUUCGGUGGGGAAGAAAUUGCUUCGGUUAAUACCUGGAGUAGAUGACGGUACCCGCAUAAGAAGCACCGGCUAACUACGUG